RNAcentral lists this long non-coding RNA (244 nucleotides) under Manihot esculenta (cassava). RNAcentral's name for it is "long non-coding RNA (MESC_LNC011446)". The record is from RNAcentral. Lineage: Eukaryota; Viridiplantae; Streptophyta; Magnoliopsida; Malpighiales; Euphorbiaceae.
CGAAUUGAGUCUUAUUGAGCAGGUUGGGCUGCUUCGACUGACUUCCGUUGAGAGGAAGUAUGAUGUCGAGAAGUGUAUGUUUGCGUCAAACCUUAGGGAUAUCCAAGACACGGGUAUAGUGCUUUGUCCGGUUAUUCUGUUUUUGUUUUUCCUUUGCUUGUGAUAUCAGGAAGGAUGCUGACUCUUUAUAACUUCUUGUUUUGUUUGCAGCUUCUGAGGUUAGAAUGGAGGGCAUCAAAUUCCC